GACGAACGCUGGCGGCGUGCUUAACACAUGCAAGUCGAACGGUGAAGCGCCUUCCUUUUUGGUGGGUGUGGAUGAGUGGCGAACGGGUGAGUAACACGUGAGUAACCUGCCCCCUUCUUCUGGAUAACCGCAUGCAAGUGUGGCUAAUACGGGAUAUUUUGGGUCUGUCGCAUGAUGGGUCUGGGACAGUUAUUGUUUCGGUGGGGGAUGGGCUCGCGGCCUAUCAGCUUGUUGGUGGGGUGAUGGCCUACCAAGGCGGUGACGGGUAGCCGGCCUGAGAGGGUGGACGAUACCACAAGGACUGAGACACGGCCCAUACUCCGACGGGAGGCAGCAGUGAGGAAUCUGGCACGAUGGGCGCAAGGCUGAUGCAGCGACGCCGCGUGAGGGAUGGAGGCCUUCGGGUUGUGAACCUCUUUCGCCAGUGAAGCAGGCCUGCCUCGUCUGUGGGUGUGUUGACGGUAGCUAGAUAAAAAGCGACGGCUAACUACGUG
Molecule: ribosomal RNA, 494 nt
Filed under: uncultured bacterium
Lineage: Bacteria
Description: partial 16S ribosomal RNA
Rfam family: Bacterial small subunit ribosomal RNA
Source: RNAcentral